This 233-nucleotide ribosomal RNA is filed under the name uncultured bacterium. RNAcentral describes it as "partial 16S ribosomal RNA". It matches the Rfam family "Bacterial small subunit ribosomal RNA", at positions 118 to 351 of the family's 1533-position model. The record is from RNAcentral.
UGAGUAACCUGCCCUUAACUCUGGGAUAAGCCUGGGAAACUGGGUCUAAUACCGGAUAUGACUCCUCAUCGCAUGGUGGGGGGUGGAAAGCUUUUUGUGGUUUUGGAUAGACUCGCGGCCUAUCAGCUUGUUGGUGAGGUAAUGGCUCACCAAGGCGACGACGGGUAGCCGGCCUGAGAGGGUGACCGGCCACACUGGGACUGAGACACGGCCCAGACUCCUACGGGAGGCAG